Molecule: ribosomal RNA, 1286 nt
Filed under: metagenome
Description: bacterial SSU rRNA
Rfam family: Bacterial small subunit ribosomal RNA
Source: RNAcentral
AGCUAGUUGGUGGGGUAAAAGCUCACCAAGGCGACGAUCUGUAGCGGGUCUGAGAGGAUGAUCCGCCACACUGGAACUGAGACACGGUCCAGACUCCUACGGGAGGCAGCAGUGGGGAAUUUUGGACAAUGGGGGCAACCCUGAUCCAGCCAUGCCGCGUGAGUGAAGAAGGCCUUCGGGUUGUAAAGCUCCUUCGGCCGGGAAGAAAUCGUAUCAGCUAAUACCUGGUGCGGAUGACGGUACCGGCAUAAGAAGCACCGGCUAACUACGUGCCAGCAGCCGCGGUAAUACGUAGGGUGCGAGCGUUAAUCGGAAUUACUGGGCGUAAAGCGUGCGCAGGCGGUUUUGUAAGACAGGCGUGAAAUCCCCGGGCUCAACCUGGGAACUGCGUUUGUGACUGCAAGGCUAGAGUACGGCAGAGGGGGGUGGAAUUCCACGUGUAGCAGUGAAAUGCGUAGAGAUGUGGAGGAACACCAAUGGCGAAGGCAGCCCCCUGGGUCGAUACUGACGCUCAUGCACGAAAGCGUGGGUAGCAAACAGGAUUAGAUACCCUGGUAGUCCACGCCCUAAACGAUGUCAACUAGGUGUUGGGAGGGUAAAACCUUUUAGUACCGGAGCUAACGCGUGAAGUUGACCGCCUGGGGAGUACGGCCGCAAGGUUAAAACUCAAAGGAAUUGACGGGGACCCGCACAAGCGGUGGAUGAUGUGGAUUAAUUCGAUGCAACGCGAAAAACCUUACCUACCCUUGACAUGUCAGGAACUUUCCAGAGAUGGAUUGGUGCUCGAAAGAGAACCAGAACACAGGUGCUGCAUGGCUGUCGUCAGCUCGUGUCGUGAGAUGUUGGGUUAAGUCCCGCAACGAGCGCAACCCUUGUCGUUAAUUGCCAUCAUUAAGUUGGGCACUUUAGCGAGACUGCCGGUGACAAACCGGAGGAAGGUGGGGAUGACGUCAAGUCCUCAUGGCCCUUAUGGGUAGGGCUUCACACGUCAUACAAUGGUCGGUACAAAGGGUCGCCAACCCGCGAGGGGGAGCUAAUCCCAGAAAGCCGAUCGUAGUCCGGAUUGCAGGCUGCAACUCGCCUGCAUGAAGUCGGAAUCGCUAGUAAUCGUGGAUCAGCAUGUCACGGUGAAUACGUUCCCGGGUCUUGUACACACCGCCCGUCACACCAUGGGAGCGGGUUCCGCCAGAAGUAGGUAGCCUAACCGCAAGGAGGGCGCUUACCACGGCGGGGUUCGUGACUGGGGUGAAGUCGGAACAAGGUAGCCGUAGGGGAACCUGCGGCUG